Molecule: RNA transcript, 2675 nt
Organism: Aegilops tauschii subsp. strangulata
Lineage: Eukaryota; Viridiplantae; Streptophyta; Magnoliopsida; Poales; Poaceae
Source: RefSeq, a predicted model, not a curated record
ACUUUGUAACACCCCUGAUGUCAAGCUACAGUAAACCCAUGCUAAUGGUGCCGUGUCAUCAUUAUUAGCUAAGCCAAAUUUCCUCUUGGUAAAAAUCAAAGACAUUUUCAAACUUAAAAUAAAGUCAAAAUAAUUAUUUCUUCAAGGUAAAAAAAAUGUUUGAAUAAAUCUAUAAGUUCCCCUGAUUGUCUUCAUGCCAAAACCAAUUUCAUUUGACUCACAUAUAAAUUCCUAGGAAUUUAAUAAGUGGUCUAACACAAAAAUAAAAUGGAACCUUGUGUGUAGCACCCAAAAUGUUGUAUUUGAAUUAUAGGUGCAGUACCUUGUAGAUCUAAUAUCAUUUAGUGCCAAACAUAAAUAGAAAACUGAGACAAAAGGUUAGACAGAAAAAGAAAAUGAGAAAGUGCUGACGUGCACUUUGGCCCGUAUGAACAAUGUAGCCCAAGCCCACCACCAGCCUCUCCCCUACCUCUUUACUGUACAGAGGGGAGGCAGCAUGGCCUUGGCGGCCAUCCGGCCAUCCGCCGGUCAUGGCCACUUGUGUGGCGGCCAUCUGACCCCUCCCGACAUCCUACUUGACCCCGAGCACUUCCCUUGGACAAACCCUAGGCCGCACUUGUUCUCCUCUCGCUCGAUCCUGUCCUUUGUUCGACGACAAGCGCUUCCAUCACCGUCACCGCGUCGAUCCCACGGCCACUAGCCAGCCCGCACCAUCCCGACAUGUCCGCAAGCUCCGGCUCGCUCCUCUGCUUCGACUACACUGAAUGCUUGAGCUGGGCGCCUCUACAUCGCCGGGAUCGAGCGCUCCUUCCUCUUCAGUCGCCGGCGGGCCACCGCCCAACUACUCUGCUCCGACCACUCCGGCCUUCCCCAAGCACGGCCGCGCUCCGCGGGUACAAGGGGAAGAAGGCAGGGUCUAGGUGUUACUCCGGCGCGGCGGCAGAGCGAAGCAAACCCUCCUCUCCUCAAGCAAGCAUCACUUGUAGAUGGUCAAGAAGAUGAACAAAAGAAAAAGGAUGGUUAGGGGAGCCGCAGUUUUUGUCACACUUGCUGCAAUAGCAGUCAUUGUUCGAGCUUCAAUAAGGAAGAGAAGAUCACUUAUUACAUAUGGCCCAAUGCAUGAAAGAGAUCGGGCCAGAUUUGAUUAUCUAGACCAAAAAAUUUGGCAAAGCGAUGUGUUGUGUAAAAACAUGUUAAGGUUUGAAAGAGCUGCAUUCUUUCUCUUGUGUGGCAUACUGAGGGAUCGCGAGUUGCUAGAAGACAGUCCACAUCUUAGCAUGGAGCAACAAUUAGCGAUGUUUUUACAUACAAUUGGGCAUAAUGUUUGGAAUAGGGUUAUAUCAGCCAUUUUUUGUAGAUCAUAUGGCACAACUAGCAUCUAUUUUAGAAAGGCUCUUCAUGCCAUAGGCGAGCUUCGUAAUGAUUACAUAAGGCCACCAUCACUGGAGACCCCUGCCAAAAUUGCUGGAAAUCAUCGAUUUGACCCAUAUUUUAAGGAUUGUAUUGGAGCUAUCGAUGGUACACAUGUGCGAGCAGGUGUUACCAAAGAUGUGGAGCAUUCCUUUCGGGGUAGGAAGGCAUUCACCACUCAAAAUGUGAUGGCAGCGGUAGAUUUUGACCUACGCUUCACAUAUGUGUUGCCUGAUUUGGAAGGGUCAGCACAUGAUGCUACUAUUUUAGCUGAUGCAUUAACGCGUGAGAGAGGCUUACAAGUGCCACCGGGAAAGUUCUACCUAGUUGAUGCUGGUUAUGGAGCAAAGCCUGGGUUCUUACCACCUUUUCAUGGUGUGAGGUACCAUUUGAAUGAGUGGGGCAACAAUCCAGUCCAAAAUGAUAGGGAGUUGUUCAACCUUAGGCACUCAUCUCUACGGGUCACAGUAGUGAGGGCUUUUGGAUCUCUCAAGAGGCGUUUCCAAAUUUUAGAGGAUGCCAAACCCUUCUUCACUUUCCCGGUGCAGAAAUGGACAAUACUGAAGUCACCGCUGCAAGUGGGAACUCCGCAAAGAGUGGGGUCAUUGUAUGGACCCCUGCCAUGACCAACAUGAUGCUAGGAUUUUUGGCUGACCUUGUUGCUAAAGGAAAGAGGACUUCUAGUGGGUUCAGGGAGGCACAUCAUAGACAAUGUGCUGCUGUUCUGAAUGAGCAGUUCAAACUUGCUGUCACUGGAGAACAAGUUCGAAACCAUCUCAAGAAGUGGAGGAAGAUUUGGGGAAGGGUAGUCAUCUUGAAGAAUUUAAGUGGAGCUCUAUGGGAUGAAAAUACUUGCACAAUUAGGCUUGCCGAAGAACACUGUGCGGGUCAUUGCAUGGCACGCAAAGCUGAUGCCCCUUUCUUGAAUACCCCAAUUGAACACUAUCAUGCUAUGGCGACCAUCUUUGGGACAACCGCGGCUUCAGGGAUGAAUGCUAGGUCUGGGAAUGAUCUACUCUCUAUUGAUGUGGAAGAUGAGGAGAAUGGUGAGGUGAACACAUCACCAAAUGUUGCUGAAUCCUCUCACCCCAAAGGACCACCAAAAAAGAAGGCCAAGGUAGUGAAAGUUCUUCAAGAUCCACUAGUUACCACUCUCAAUUAUGGGUUCAAACUUGUGGCUGAUGCUCUUGUGAAUUAUGGGGAUGAUGAUGAUGAAGGAAAUAUGCCCUAGAGGCAAUAAUAAAGUUAUUAUUUAUUUCCUUAUA